UCUUGUGAAGUGAAGUGUGCAGUUUGAAAAGUUUGACAUUUUUAUGUGCGGUACUACAAAGUUUGGACUUUUUUUCAUCUAAUCCGUUCCACUGUAUUGGAAGGAAAAAUCCCAACAACAGGGCAAGCAGAUUCAUCAAAGUAAUGCAAGCUUCAAUCUACUGGUGCUGUCGGCAUUGCAGAAAAUAAUGACCAAGAUUGGAGCGAUUGGCGAGCUUAGAGAGUCAGGUGAAGGGGAAUGGUGCACAUUAUGCGGACGUUCGGCAGCAACAGGGGGACAAAGAAACCUUCGCCUUGCAUGAAGUGCUGCGAAAGUUACCAGCAAGAGAAGAAGAGGAACUGGAAGAUUUAAAUCUGUUACUACGAGAUGGUAGAAAUUACAGUACAGCGCGGGAGUCAUUCAUGACUUUAGGAGGUAGCGACGUCAAAAUCUGCGUGAAACUGCUGAUGGCUCGCGUAAUAAGCAGUGAGCUAGCAUUACUGUACAACCGGACAGGAAUGGGCCAGAAGAAAAGGUUCACUUCACACGAGCUGGUGUUACAGAUAGUAAAGUUUAAGUGUCAUUAGAUCAAACUGCCCGCACGUAACGGAUGCGGUCAUGGAUAACGUAAUAAGUACGUGGCUAUCGCAAGCUCAAAAGAGGCUAGCAAGUAGGAGGUAUCAGAGGGAAGCAGGUCGCUGACAUGACCACCGAUAUGAAGGAGAAGGUGGAAUUGAUCAUCCAGAGCUGGAGGCUGAAGACUAAGGCUGAAGACUAACUCUGUUCUAUAUUAGUUAUAUUACAGAAUUCUAGUAGUUCGAAAAUGAAUUGGAAUUUUUUUUGUCGAAUGUUUAUGAAUAACGUGCGGAAAUUUGUUCGAAUCCACACAAAAUAAAUGCAAAGGGACAAAAAUAAAGAAUAAAAUAAUUAGGAGGACUUUAAAUGACUUGUAACAGGUUUGUAUUGAAUUGCAACAAGAAGUAGAACGCAAAGCGUAAAACUGAAAAAUGUAGAAUUGCAAAUAUUUUAAUAUCAGCUACCCCAGCCCCCCUCCUCUUGCGCUAGAAAAAACACGUGUGGUCUAUGACAAUAUACGUUUUCGUUUGUUUGAGGUGUUUUCAAUCUUCAUACACACACAGAGAUACACAUUGUAAUUGAUAAAACGUUUUUCUCCAGGGCAGGUGUGAUAGGCUGAUAUUAAAAUAUUUGCAACUUCUCUUUUGCGCUUUGCCAUAAACUUCUUGUUGCACUUCAAAACCAAACUGUCACAAGUCAAUUGAAGAACUAGUGCUCCCACCUACUCCUAUUUAUUACAUUAUAAAUAAGCAAAGUUAAAGAUUGUGAGAAAAUCGCAACUUUCUAGCACUUAUCUAAGAGA
This is a long non-coding RNA of Belonocnema kinseyi, 1357 nucleotides long. RefSeq lists it as uncharacterized. The transcript is spliced from 5 exons. NCBI's taxonomy places the organism in Eukaryota, Metazoa, Arthropoda, Insecta, Hymenoptera, Cynipidae. The record is from RefSeq and is a predicted model, not a curated record.